Pogona vitticeps (central bearded dragon) is the source of this 2119-nucleotide long non-coding RNA. NCBI's taxonomy places the organism in Eukaryota, Metazoa, Chordata, Lepidosauria, Squamata, Agamidae. The record is from Ensembl.
GGCCCCAGUCCUCUACCUGUGUGUGAUUUCUAGAUGUGUUGUGACGCACUACUGCUUUGAUUGAGUUUUUAGCAUUUUUUUCCUUUUUAAUAUUUGUGUACUUAUUGUUCUUAGUGGUAAUAUUGCCUUUUAUUGAUCUAAGUGGCCUCUUUAUCCUCACCGUUCUUAGUUUUAAACAUCGUCCUUUAAGGAUGCCAACCACCGUUGUACACUCCUUGAUUUUCAACUUUAGACUUUGUUGUUGUGGGUUUUUCGGGCUCUUUGGCCGUGUUCUGAAGGUUGUUCUUCCUGACGUUUCGCCAGUCUCUGAGGACUGGAGCAGGAACUCUGUCCAUGCUCUGUUCCUACUCCAGUCCUCUGAAGAUGCCGGCCACAGAGACAGGCGAAAUGUCAGGAAAAACAAUCUUCAGAACAUGGCCAAAGAGCCCGAAAAACCCACAACAACCAUCAGAUCCCGGCUGUGAAAGCCUUCGAGAACACAUUUAGACAUUGUCUUUCAUUGUGCCAACCCCCCUCGGGUCUUGUCCAAAAUAUUUUUAAAUAAACAAAUCAAAUCAAUGAGUCACCUCUAUAAAUCAUUGAUUCCCUCCAACCUGGAUUGAAAAAGAAAAAGUGCAACACAGCUCCUUGGAGAUAAUCCAAGAUUUUUGGAUCUACACUGCCGAUUUGCAUCUGGGUGACCGCCGGUAUGAAAAUAAGGAGGAUCCUUUAUAACUCAUGGCGUAGAAGGAGUUAAAGAAGAGGCUCAUAGAAAGUUUGAUAGUAAUGCACUGUCUUCCGCCGCCCCACAAUCUCUCUCCUCUUCUCUCUGUGUCUCUGUUCCUCCUGAUGAGGCAGAACGGUGCUUGCAAAGAUCCAUCUCUCAGCCCUCGUUCUUUGUUGCCCAGAGAUCACCUGCAAAAUCGCAAUGCAACAUCGUGGCAUCCAGCGGGUAGAAAACACACUCUGACUGUGCACUCUCUGGAAAGCCCGGCUGUCCAUCUCCAGCAUCAAAACAGUGAGGAUCGGAUGCCGAGCUUUCCCGUGGGUCCUCCCGAAGCAGGGGUCUCGGGGGGGGGCAUGCCUUCUCUGGCCGGCUUGAUAGGAAAGGUAAGGGCUUGUGUUUCUUUCUCUUUUUGAAAACAACCUACUGGUUUUCUUCCCUGCAUUUCAUGGGCUCUUGGUGGGCUGUUUUCUCAUUUUUGUUGUGAAAUCUCGUGGGAAAGGGACCCUUUUUGACCGAAAGGAGGAACACGGAUGCUCCCAAAGGAUUCCUCUUUUGAAAGCAUGCAUGAAGCUCUCUGUUGUUCUGGGUGGGUGGCUAUUUUUAAGAGGAAGGGAAGAGAUCUUGAAAGCUAUGAACCCUGCGAGGCCAGAGUAUGGAUUUGGGUGGGUGAAGAAACCCACGUCCUGGGGACCAGGAGGUGUUGUCUUUAAACCAGGUGGUGCAGGACAAUCUGCCAGGUAAAAUCCAAGGGCGAUAGAGCCAUGUGAAUUACUAGGACCCCAGUCGUUCACUCGGUCCUCUUGCAAGGGCUCUCUUGGUUUGACACUUGGCUAGAAGAACAUCUUCAGCCGGGCCAGCUCUCGGAGGAGGUGGCUAGCCAAAGUGGCCGGUUCCAGAGAGAGAGAGGGAGGGAGGGAGAGAGAGAGAGAAAGAGAGAGAGAGAAACCAACUCUUAAUUAUUCCUUUAUGAUUGUGUUUAUAAUACAGGAGAAGGGGAGAAGCUUUGAUUUUCCGGCUCCAUGGGUAGCUUUCCAUGGGCUUUAGUUGGGCUCUGUGAACUUUCCUGUGAGUGAGUGGGCGGAGCCAUCGGCUGGUCUGUCUCAGGCAGCAAAAUCUCUUUGGCUGACCCUGCUGGACAAUCCCCCCUCCCCUUUUUUCUUCAAGGAUGCUAAUUUGUCCUCUGCUUUGGGAUAGUGAAGAAGAAGAAGAAGAAAAACUGGCUUAUCAGCUGCUGCAACCACAAUGUUUACUCCAGUUGCCUGGGUAUAAGGAAGGACUCCUCUUACUCAGCUUCUGGGCUUAAGGAAGCCUAGUUCCCACCUCUGGUUGGUGGUAUCUGGGAAACGCAGAAGUGAAGAUAAGAUCCUGCUUCAACACUGCUAACUGGAGAGAAAGCUUUCAUUGAGAAGUAGC